Molecule: ribosomal RNA, 497 nt
Filed under: uncultured bacterium
Lineage: Bacteria
Description: partial 16S ribosomal RNA
Rfam family: Bacterial small subunit ribosomal RNA
Source: RNAcentral
GAUGAACGCUGGCGGCGUGCCUAAUACAUGCAAGUCGAGCGAACAGACGAGGAGCUUGCUCCUCUGACGUUAGCGGCGGACGGGUGAGUAACACGUGGAUAACCUACCUAUAAUACUGGGAUAACUUCGGGAAACCGGAGCUAAUACCGGAUAAUAUAUUGAACCGCAUGGUUCAAUAGUGAAAGACGGUUUUGCUGUCACUUAUAGAUGGAUCCGCGCCGCAUUAGCUAGUUGGUAAGGUAACGGCUUACCAAGGCAACGAUGCGUAGCCGACCUGAGAGGGUGAUCGGCCACCUUGGACCUGAGACACGGUCCAGCCUCCUACGGGAGGCAGCAGUAGGGAAUCUUCCGCAAUGGGAGAAAGCCUGACGGAGCAACGCCGCGUGAGUGAUGAAGGUCUUCGGAUCGUAAAACUCUGUUAUUAGGGAAGAACAAAUGUGUAAGUAACUCUGCACGUCUUGACGGUACCUAAUCAGAAAGCAACGGCUAACUACGUG